UGAGAAAUUUAGAGUGUUCAAAGCAGGCAUUUGCUUGAAUAUAUUAGCAUGGAAUAAUCAUAUAAGAUUUUCAUGAUGUAUUUGAUUGGUUUGGUUCAUGAGAAUAAGAUUAAAAGGGACAGUUGGGGGUAUUCAUGUUCAAUAGUCAGAGGUGAAAUUCUCGGAUUUAUGGAAGAUGAACAAGUGCGAAAGCAUUUACCAAGGAUGUUUUCAUUAAUCAAGAACGAAAGUUAGGGGAUCGAAGAGGAUUAGAUACCCUCGUAGUCUUAA
Molecule: ribosomal RNA, 270 nt
Filed under: Blastocystis hominis
Lineage: Eukaryota; Bigyra; Opalinata; Blastocystidae
Description: partial small subunit ribosomal RNA
Rfam family: Eukaryotic small subunit ribosomal RNA
Source: RNAcentral